RNAcentral lists this transfer RNA (77 nucleotides) under Porticoccaceae bacterium. RNAcentral's name for it is "tRNA-Arg". It matches the Rfam family "tRNA". From Rfam's summary of the family: Transfer RNA (tRNA) molecules are approximately 80 nucleotides in length. Lineage: Bacteria; Pseudomonadati; Pseudomonadota; Gammaproteobacteria; Cellvibrionales; Porticoccaceae. The record is from RNAcentral.
GCGGCUAUAGCUCAGCUGGAUAGAGCGUAGGUUUGCGGAACCUAAGGUCAGGAGUUCGAAUCUCUUUAGCCGCGCCA